Molecule: unclassified non-coding RNA, 302 nt
Filed under: uncultured Ascomycota
Lineage: Eukaryota; Fungi; Ascomycota
Description: sequence contains ITS1
Rfam family: 5.8S ribosomal RNA (bases 1-105)
Source: RNAcentral
GAAAUGCGAUAAGUAAUGUGAAUUGCAGAAUUCAGUGAAUCAUCGAAUCUUUGAACGCACAUUGCGCCCUUUGGUAUUCCGAAGGGCAUGCCUGUUCGAGCGUCAUUAUCAACCAUCAAGCUCUGCUUGGCAUUGGGCUACGUCUCCGUAACUGGAGACCAGCUCCAAAGGUGUCGGCGGUGGCAUAAAGCUUCAAGCGUAGUAAAUUUUACCCAGCUUCAGAGGUCUUUGUGUUGCCCGCUUCCAAAACCCAUCACCUCAAGGUUGACCUCGGAUCAGGUAGGGAUACCCGCUGAACUUAA